This 211-nucleotide long non-coding RNA is filed under the name Mytilus galloprovincialis (Mediterranean mussel). The record is from RNAcentral. Lineage: Eukaryota; Metazoa; Mollusca; Bivalvia; Mytilida; Mytilidae.
GGUGAGUUAUAGUUGUUAAUGUCUGCGUCAGUUUGGUCUCUUGUGGACAGUUGUCUCAUUGGCAAUCAUAUCACAUCUUCUUUUUUAUACAUUAAAUUUAUAGAUUUUUAAGUACUGUUCACCUUACUAUUUACGAAUUUAUCAAUAUCAUAUUAACUUUUUAUUUAAAAACAAAUGGCACAUAUGCAUUACAAAAAUAAGCAAAAAUGGU